RNAcentral lists this non-coding RNA (111 nucleotides) under Clostridium saccharobutylicum. RNAcentral's name for it is "TPP sequence". It matches the Rfam family "TPP riboswitch aptamer (THI element)". From Rfam's summary of the family: Vitamin B(1) in its active form thiamin pyrophosphate (TPP) is an essential coenzyme that is synthesised by coupling of pyrimidine and thiazole moieties in bacteria. The record is from RNAcentral. Lineage: Bacteria; Bacillati; Bacillota; Clostridia; Eubacteriales; Clostridiaceae. RNAcentral also lists the same sequence under 1 other name.
CAGAAUAACUAGGGGAGCUAAUAUUUUAGCUGAGAUUGGAAAGAGUGAUUUCCUGGACCCUUAUAACCUGAUUUGGUUAAUGCCAACGGAGGGAAGUAUAUUAAUUAAUGU